GACCAGGAAACAGAACUUUUCAGAAUGGAGCCGUCCGGUCUGCAGGAGUCCAGGAUGCGCUUAGACAUUGUGAAUUGCGAUCUGCACUGAAAGUCACCGGGGGCAAACACCAUUUUUCAUGCAUCAAAAGCUUUGAUUAAUCAAAAGAUCCUUCGGGUCUAUGCUACCGUAAGUCCAUAACGUUGUCAUUACGACUGAUUUACCUUGAACUUGGCUACCUAGUACAGCAGUAACGGGGGUCGGUGUCGAUGCAAUUAUGUUUUGCUUCUCUUUUGGGUGGCAACCAUAUCCUGAAUCCUAACUUCUGAGAAGCAUAUUGAGUAAAGUCAAGAUACUUGAGAAGUAUCGAAGCACGUUUGCAUGACUUGUACUUGAGAAGCCAGAACGAGUGAAUCAGGGACUUGCAGGAAAUACCGGCUACUCCUCAUUCUAAAGGCCAAGUUUCUAGCCCAGUUUGGGAUCUGAAGAGCUGGUUAGAAGGUGCUUGGACCUUCAGCUGUUCAGCAUUUGGCGAUCCGCGGGACCGGUUGCAAUCCUUACAGUGGCUGAUGUACUUAGGCGGUACAGUACCUACCAAUCUAUCUAUCCAUCCAGCUAGAAACUUUCAUGGUUAAUUUACUCAUAUCUUUUGUCUAUCUUUGAUCUACCGUCUCUAACUUCUAGCAAACCGCGUUUUGUUUUGGAGGAGAAAAACAGGAUAGGGACUAGAAAGAGUGUUAGCGCCAGUUAACCAUGCGAACACACGAACUUUCUCCCUCUUGUUAAUCCAUGACUACAAGUGGGACAAUGGAGAAAAACAAAGAGACACUUGUUAACUUCGAACGCAGCCUACGAGAGCCUAGCUACCAGCACGGUGUGGGCCGCAUCGUGCUCCAUGAGACCGCGCCGCGUGCACCCCUGCCAACAUAAGAGCAUGCACUACGUUCCGACGUGGCGGGUAGCUCUAGCCCACCAAGUCGGAGCCAGCGAGCUAGGUGGGCAUGGACCGUCCCCCCACGGAGGCGUGAGGAUCAUGCAGAGGCAACGAGCUCCUCAUCAGAUGGUGUCAGAUGGAGCAACGUUCGAGAGAAAAACUAUCACCUGGAGAAAGGGAGGCACCAGAGAAAGUUGAGGUCGUCGCCGAGGCCGGUCAUCGCCGUCGCCCCUGACCGUCGGCGCCGAGGCUAGCCACCGCUGCCGCCCCCGAGGCCGCCACCGUCCGGCAGAUCCGCCACCACCAAGGCCGGCCACCGUGGCCGCUCCCGACUCGUCGGCCACCGCCACCGGUCUCCAGAUCCAUGGUCCUCGACGCCGAGCUCCGCCCCCUCCCUCCCCUGCGCCGCCACGCUUCACCGGUGCCUCCUAGAUCCGCGACCGUCGCCAAGACGAGAUCCACGGUUCCCGACGCCGAGCUCUUCCCCUACGCCGCCGAGCUUUGUUGCCAUCGACACGCUGCCCCUGCCUAGCUUCGCCGCUGUGGGCCGCCGUCGCCGCUGAGGGCCGCUGCCGCCGAGAUCAGGCUCAGAUCCGAGAGGGAGAAAGAGAGGAGAGAGAGGGGAGGCAUGGUGGAGUGGUGAGAAAAGAAAAGUGUUUUUUCUAUGGGACCUACCUAAAAUGCCAUUUGUACUGUGAGGUGUGUAGUUUCAUUCUACAUGACAUUUUCUUUUUUCCUAAAACAGGGAUACU
Molecule: RNA transcript, 1665 nt
Organism: Oryza brachyantha (malo sina)
Lineage: Eukaryota; Viridiplantae; Streptophyta; Magnoliopsida; Poales; Poaceae
Gene name: protein PLASTID TRANSCRIPTIONALLY ACTIVE 7
Exons: 3
Source: RefSeq, a predicted model, not a curated record